This 253-nucleotide ribosomal RNA is filed under the name uncultured bacterium. Its description in RNAcentral is "partial 16S ribosomal RNA". It matches the Rfam family "Bacterial small subunit ribosomal RNA", at positions 524 to 776 of the family's 1533-position model. The record is from RNAcentral.
UACGGAGGGGGCUAGCGUUGUUCGGAAUUACUGGGCGUAAAGCGCGCGUAGGCGGACCUGCAAGUCGGGGGUGAAAGCCCGAGGCUCAACCUCGGAACUGCCUUCGAUACUGCGGGUCUCGAGUCCGGGAGAGGUUAGUGGAAUUCCUAGUGUAGAGGUGAAAUUCGUAGAUAUUAGGAAGAACACCAGUGGCGAAGGCGGCUCACUGGCCCGGUACUGACGCUGAGGCGCGAAAGCUAGGGGAGCAAACGGG